UACGGGGGAUGCGAGCGUUAUCCGGAUUUAUUGGGUUUAAAGGGCGCGUAGGCGGGACGCCAAGUCAGCGGUAAAAGACUGCAGCUAAACUGUAGCACGCCGUUGAAACUGGCGCCCUCGAGACGAGACGAGGGAGGCGGAACAAGUGAAGUAGCGGUGAAAUGCUUAGAUAUCACUUGGAACCCCGAUAGCGAAGGCAGCUUCCCAGGCUCGAUCUGACGCUGAUGCGCGAAAGCGUGGGUAGCGAACAGG
Molecule: ribosomal RNA, 252 nt
Filed under: uncultured bacterium
Lineage: Bacteria
Description: partial 16S ribosomal RNA
Rfam family: Bacterial small subunit ribosomal RNA
Source: RNAcentral